UACGUAGGGGGCAAGCGUUGUCCGGAUUUAUUGGGCGUAAAGAGCGUGUAGGCGGCCAUGUAGGUCCGUUGUGAAAACUCGAGGCUCAACCUCGAGACGCCGAUGGAAACCAUGUGGCUAGAGUCCGGAAGAGGAGAGUGGAAUUCCUGGUGUAGCGGUGAAAUGCGCAGAUAUCAGGAGGAACACCAAUUGCGAAGGCAGCUCGCUGGGACGUAACUGACGCUGAGACGCGAAAGCGUGGGGGAGCAAACAGG
Molecule: ribosomal RNA, 254 nt
Filed under: uncultured bacterium
Lineage: Bacteria
Description: partial 16S ribosomal RNA
Rfam family: Bacterial small subunit ribosomal RNA
Source: RNAcentral